This 460-nucleotide ribosomal RNA is filed under the name uncultured bacterium. Its description in RNAcentral is "partial 16S ribosomal RNA". It matches the Rfam family "Bacterial small subunit ribosomal RNA", at positions 338 to 795 of the family's 1533-position model. The record is from RNAcentral.
CCUACGGGGGACAGCAGUGAGGAAUCUUGGUCAAUGGACGCAAGUCUGAACCAGCCAUGCCGCGUGCAGGAAGACGGCUCUAUGAGUUGUAAACUGCUUUUGUACGAGGGUAAACGCAGAUACGCGUAUCUGUCUGAAAGUAUCGUACGAAUAAGGAUCGGCUAACUCCGGGCCAGCAGCCGCGGUAAUACGGAGGAUUCAAGCGUUAUCCGGAUUCAUUGGGUUUAAAGGGUGCGUAGGCGGUCGGAUAAGUUAGAGGUGAAAUCCCGAGGCUCAACUUCGGAAUUGCCUCUGAUACGGUUCGGCUAGAGAAUAGUUGCGGUAGGCGGAAUGUAUGGUGUAGCAGUGAAAUGCUUAGAGAUCGUACAGAACACCGAUUGCGAAGGCAGCUUCCCGAGCUACUUCUGACGUUGAGGCACGAAGGCGUGGGGAGCAAACAGGAUUAGAUACCCUUGUAGUC